RNAcentral lists this ribosomal RNA (503 nucleotides) under uncultured bacterium. RNAcentral describes it as "partial 16S ribosomal RNA". It matches the Rfam family "Bacterial small subunit ribosomal RNA", at positions 355 to 844 of the family's 1533-position model. The record is from RNAcentral.
UGGGGAAUAUUGGACAAUGGGGGCAACCCUGAUCCAGCCAUGCCGCGUGUGUGAAGAAGGCCUUUUGGUUGUAAAGCACUUUAAGCAGGGAGGAGAGGCUAAUGGUUAAUACCCAUUAGAUUAGACGUUACCUGCAGAAUAAGCACCGGCUAACUCUGUGCCAGCAGCCGCGGUAAUACAGAGGGUGCGAGCGUUAAUCGGAAUUACUGGGCGUAAAGCGAGUGUAGGUGGCUCAUUAAGUCACAUGUGAAAUCCCCGGGGCUUAACCUGGGAACUGCAUGUGAUACUGGUGGUGCUAGAAUAUGUGAGAGGGAAGUAGGAUUCCCAGGUGUAGCGGUGAAAAUGCGUAGAGAUCUGGAGGAAUACCGAUGGCGAAGGCAGCUUCCUGGCAUAAUAUUGACACUGAGAUUCGAAAGCGUGGGUAGCAAAACAGGAUUAGAUACCCUGGUAGUCCACGCCGUAAAACGAUGUCUACUAGCCGUUGGGGUCCUUGAGACUUUAGU